AGCGAACGCUGGCGGCAGGCCUAACACAUGCAAGUCGAACGAACUCUUCGGAGUUAGUGGCGGACGGGUGAGUAACACGUGGGAACGUGCCUUUAGGUUCGGAAUAACUCAGGGAAACUUGUGCUAAUACCGAAUGUGCCCUUCGGGGGAAAGAUUUAUCGCCUUUAGAGCGGCCCGCGUCUGAUUAGCUAGUUGGUGAGGUAAAGGCUGACCAAGGCGAAGAUCAGUAGCUGGUCUGAGAGGAUGAUCAGCCACAUUGGGACUGAGACACGGCCCAAACUCCUACGGGAGGCAGCAGUGGGGAAUCUUGCGCAAUGGGCGAAAGCCUGACGCAGCCAUGCCGCGUGAAUGAUGAAGGUCUUAGGAUUGUAAAAUUCUUUCACCUGGGACGAUAAUGACGGUACCCGGAGAAGAAGCCCCGGCUAACUUCGUGCCAGCAGCCGCGGUAA
Molecule: ribosomal RNA, 449 nt
Filed under: uncultured bacterium
Lineage: Bacteria
Description: partial 16S ribosomal RNA
Rfam family: Bacterial small subunit ribosomal RNA
Source: RNAcentral